CAGUGGGGAAUAUUGGACAAUGGGCGAAAGCCUGAUCCAGCCAUGCCGCGUGAGUGAUGAAGGCCUUAGGGUUGUAAAGCUCUUUUGUCCGGGAAGAUAAUGACUGUACCGGAAGAAUAAGCCCCGGCUAACUUCGUGCCAGCAGCCGCGGUAAUACGAAGGGGGCUAGCGUUGCUCGGAAUCACUGGGCGUAAAGGGCGCGUAGGCGGACUUUUAAGUCGGAGGUGAAAGCCCAGGGCUCAACCCUGGAAUUGCCUUCGAUACUGGGAGUCUUGAGUUCGGAAGAGGUUGGUGGAACUGCGAGUGUAGAGGUGAAAUUCGUAGAUAUUCGCAAGAACACCGGUGGCGAAGGCGGCCAACUGGUCCGAAACUGACGCUGAGGCGCGAAAGCGUGGGGAGCAAACAGGAUUAGAUACCCUGGUAGUCCACGCCGUAAACG
Molecule: ribosomal RNA, 439 nt
Filed under: Allobosea sp.
Lineage: Bacteria; Pseudomonadati; Pseudomonadota; Alphaproteobacteria; Hyphomicrobiales; Alloboseaceae
Description: bacterial SSU rRNA
Rfam family: Bacterial small subunit ribosomal RNA
Source: RNAcentral